This 452-nucleotide ribosomal RNA is filed under the name uncultured organism. RNAcentral's name for it is "partial 16S ribosomal RNA". It matches the Rfam family "Bacterial small subunit ribosomal RNA", at positions 329 to 797 of the family's 1533-position model. The record is from RNAcentral.
ACGUACACUCCUGCGGGAGGCAGCAGUGGGGAAUAUUGGACAAUGGGCGCAAGCCUGAUCCAGCCAUGCCGCGUGAGUGAUGAAGGCCCUAGGGUUGUAAAGCUCUUUUGUGCGGGAAGAUAAUGACGGUACCGCAAGAAUAAGCCCCGGCUAACUUCGUGCCAGCAGCCGCGGUAAUACGAAGGGGGCUAGCGUUGCUCGGAAUCACUGGGCGUAAAGGGUGCGUAGGCGGGUCUUUAAGUCAGGGGUGAAAUCCUGGAGCUCAACUCCAGAACUGCCUUUGAUACUGAAGAUCUUGAGUUCGGGAGAGGUGAGUGGAACUGCGAGUGUAGAGGUGAAAUGCGUAGAUAUUCGCAAGAACACCAGUGGCGAAGGCGGCUCACUGGCCCGAUACUGACGCUGAGGCACGAAAGCGUGGGGAGCAAACAGGAUUAGAUACCCUUGUAGUCCCA